This 254-nucleotide ribosomal RNA is filed under the name uncultured prokaryote. Its description in RNAcentral is "partial 16S ribosomal RNA". It matches the Rfam family "Bacterial small subunit ribosomal RNA", at positions 521 to 774 of the family's 1533-position model. The record is from RNAcentral.
UAAUACGGAGGGAGCUAGCGUUGUUCGGAAUUACUGGGCGUAAAGCGCGCGUAGGCGGCUUUGUAAGUUAGAGGUGAAAGCCCGGGGCUCAACCCCGGAAUUGCCUUUAAGACUGCAUCGCUUGAAUCCGGGAGAGGUGAGUGGAAUUCCGAGUGUAGAGGUGAAAUUCGUAGAUAUUCGGAAGAACACCAGUGGCGAAGGCGGCUCACUGGACCGGUAUUGACGCUGAGGUGCGAAAGCGUGGGGAGCAAACA